Long non-coding RNA from Homo sapiens (human), 533 nucleotides. RefSeq lists it as uncharacterized. NCBI's taxonomy places the organism in Eukaryota, Metazoa, Chordata, Mammalia, Primates, Hominidae. The transcript is spliced from 3 exons. The record is from RefSeq and is a predicted model, not a curated record.
UCCUGAUUUCAUCUUCACUUAAUUCUUUUUGAUUGACUACUACACUGGAGUGUUUUUUUAUUCAUCUGAACAAGAUAUUACAAGUUCCUUUAAAUAGAUGACAUUUGAAAAGCAUAAAUUGGCUUCUCUGCCCACCCUCACCCUUCAACUGUCAGCGUAUCCUCAUUCUUCUUGGAUGCAGGACAAGAGUUCGGGCCUGCUGAAGGUGAUAAUGAGCGCCAAAAUUUUCACAAGUAAGAACAGAAGUCAUCACAACCUUUGUUCUCUGUAGAUUCGCCAAUCUGUACUCCAUUGGGAUCAUGUUAGAAGACCUCGGUGAAUACAUGACCAAACUCCCUACUUCUCUUUUCUCCUUUUAAACCUCUGUAGGAAUACAAACAAUUUUAGAAAUGAGAAUAUUUAGUUAUGGAAAAAGUGAAGACCUUGGUGGGAAGUUUGUUUCUAUAGAAUGAAAAGCAUGAAUUCUAAAUUUAUAAAAAUUAGUAGGAACCGGAGCUGGACGCAGUGGCUCACGCCUGUAAUCCCAGCACUUU